UAGAGGGUAGUGAAAAGGAAUAACAUAGAGUUUUGAUCUCUAUAUUGUAGGUUCAAUUCCUACCCUUCUAU
RNAcentral lists this transfer RNA (71 nucleotides) under Cryptobatrachus sp. TNHC-GDC 451. RNAcentral's name for it is "tRNA-Gln". It matches the Rfam family "tRNA". From Rfam's summary of the family: Transfer RNA (tRNA) molecules are approximately 80 nucleotides in length. Lineage: Eukaryota; Metazoa; Chordata; Amphibia; Anura; Hemiphractidae. The record is from RNAcentral.